AGCUGACUGUUGGGUCAGGACGAGAUGAUCCCCUCAGGUCAGAAUUGUUCCAAUAGUCAAGACUGAGAGGAGGCAAACAUCGUGAUCAGAUGUGAAGCAGAGCACACGCCACUCUUCAUCCUAAGAUGACUCAAAUGUCUUCUGCUGCAAAUGACGAGAUCUUGCCUCCACAUGGGUAGUGCCAAAGACAAAUGACAGAUGGUUAUUUGGAUUCAACUGGAAUGGUGAGAAGUUCUAAGUUAUCCAGUUAGCUCAGUGGUGUCACCACAACGUCCUUGCACUCAACGUCAGCAAGACCAAAGAGCUGAUUGUGGACUUCAGAAAGAAAAGACAACUAAAUGAGGCAGGUUGAUUUUCUGGCUAUGAAAUCUAUAUACGAGGGGAGUCCAUGUAGAGGUUCUGACCUGGGGUUACACGCUGACUUCGGCUCUUUGUGGAAAUGGGACCGGCUCUCGGAGCCACCCCACUGGCCGCUUUCCGAUAUGCCAAGGAUGUGGCCUGGAAGAUCAGCACGCCCUCAAGGUGCCGGAUUUUCAUGGCUCUGGAGGCAGGUGUGUCGUGGGAGUACACAGAAGAUUGUAACCAAUGAGCUGGCUGCUGGCUGUGUGCCCAGAGACCCAAGUUCUUUGGGCACAGAGCUCAGGAAAAGAAACACAACGGACUUUUAACACAAUAAAUCAGCGAAUUGCUUUGUUAUGUCUCCCCUCUCAUUGUGAAACAGGGACAUCUCUUUUUCCCUUAUUAGGGAGAAAGAGAGCCUAUGGACAAAUACCAGGUGAACGAGUAGUUUCUUAGGGUGCUGUAAGUCUGUCUCUUUAUUGAUGCGUUGCAAUACACUUAAGUGCUCGGUGAGG
Mobula hypostoma (lesser devil ray) is the source of this 854-nucleotide long non-coding RNA. RefSeq lists it as uncharacterized. The record is from RefSeq and is a predicted model, not a curated record. The transcript has 3 exons. NCBI's taxonomy places the organism in Eukaryota, Metazoa, Chordata, Chondrichthyes, Myliobatiformes, Myliobatidae.